RNAcentral lists this long non-coding RNA (2322 nucleotides) under Capsella grandiflora. Its description in RNAcentral is "long non-coding RNA (CGRA_LNC000275)". The record is from RNAcentral. Lineage: Eukaryota; Viridiplantae; Streptophyta; Magnoliopsida; Brassicales; Brassicaceae.
UGAAACUUUGCCACCCAAAGAAUGGUCGUUGAAAUGAUUUAUACUUAUGGGCAGUCACAGUCGUGGGGCAUAUAUGAUGAGAAAAGGCGUGCUGUCAAUAGCAGUCGCUUGGCUGCAGACUACAUUGACCGCUGCAACAACCUGGUAGAGCAAUUACAGAAGGCUCUUGACAAGCUACCUAAAGGAGAAACAGCAGAAGAAACCAUUGAUCAUGUAAAUGCCCAAUAUCAUUAUGAUCUUAGAAACACGAGAACAAGCUCAAUAGACAGCGAAUAUCUGUCAUAUCUAACAUACCCUUGAAUUUUCUCUGCAUAUUUAGAGCCAGCAAUUCUCAUUACUUCAUCAAAAAGCACAAUUUCAAGAGCUGGACUACGAAGGAAAACGCGAAUUCAGAGAAUUUAGCAGAGAGGUAUAAUUACUAUUGUUAAGCUUAAAAUGCCCCCAAGAUUCAUAGUUCACAUACCCGAACCUUUCUGAAAUUUUGUCUAAAUAUAUUAAUAGCUAAACUGCAUUCGGAAAAAAAUGCCAAGAAGUGACAGCAGAAAAGCUGGACGUGAUCUCCUGAAAGAUGUUUGUAACCCCACAAGUCAAGACAGUUUGAAGAAUUCUCUGGAGCUUGAAUUAAAAGUAAGAUCUUUUAGCUCCUUUCAUUUGAGCACUAGUCUAUCUUAAUUUAGACUAACGGGAUGAUGUUUGGAAAUCAACUAGGUUCUUAAGAAGCUAACCAGAAAACUUCAAAAAGACUGGGAAGAAGAACUGCAAAUAAAGCAAUAUGCAAAGAAUAUAUAUAAAGAUUUCAAACAAAAGGUGAACCAUCUAGAGAAGAAAAAGGAACACCUUUCCGGACAAUGGGACAAAGAAAAAAAUAUCAUGCUCGAGACAAAGAAAACACAUGAUACGAAGACGCAUGAUACGAAGACGCAUGAUAGGAAUACGCAUGAUCGGAAGAUAGGUACAUAUCCUGAGGCUUAUUAUAUAAAGAUGGUGAAUGAUAACUUACCAUGAUGGUUUGUAACGUACUGAUUUCGGUCUUGGAGUCUUUUAACUUUUUCCAAAACCUUUCACCAAAAUUACUCCUGCAUAGUUUCACCACAACAUGUACGUAUCCAAGAAUUGUCUCAAAUCUGAAAAGAGAAAUAUAAGGAAACGAUGUUGUCACAGCUUGUAGCUUGGAUUAAAAAACUGUUCAUCAAGAUUUGAACGAAAAAAGGUGGCAAAAGACAAUCACAGCUUGUAGCUUGGAUUAAAAAAUUGUUCAUCAAGAUUUGAACGAAAAAGGUGGCAAAAGACAAUUAAAUUACAUCAACUAUAAAAUCUGAAGUGAAAUUAUACCAAAGCAACUACAACUGAAAUAUAAUGUCAAGGCACAAAGCUGAUAAAUUUGGAGAAGCACAUCAUCAGAGUUAGCAGAGUGAUCCCAGACCACCUAAUUAACCAUGUCGACAUAAAAUUAGACUUGAGUCCUUGAGAGAUGUGAAUUCAUUGAGGAACAAACGAGGGUGCACAGCACAGCACAGCAAAAGAUUUUUAUAAAUGCAUUGAUGGUCCUUCAACAUACAAAAAGACUUAAGACUGUUCAGCUACUUGGUCAUCAAGUGUUUAUACUAAAGGAAAAGGCUUCAUGAUAAGAGAACUUAAUUUUCCGAAUUAGGACCCUUAAUAGUGAAACUCGCUAAAAAAAAAGAACAACACAUCCAAGCCAAAACCCUUUUAGCUUCAAAUUAAAGUAUUGAGAUAAAAUUGGUGAAGUUAAAACAAGCCAAAAUGGAUAAUUUAAUUAAAUACAUACAAACCUAAUCAAUGAUCCAGUGACAAAACGUAAUAGAAUAAUGUAACAAAGGAGAAAAAGACAAUUAGUACAAGUGUCUUUUUUCCAAGAACGUAAACUUCCACGAAACAAUAGAAGUAUAGAACAAUCACGAUCACUUGUUCUCGAAGCUUGCUUGACCCAAAACAUUUCAAGUCAUUUCAUAUUAUAAAACAAUAAUAUGAAGAACUUAAAACGAACGAACGUCAUAAAUAGCACAGAACAAGCUUUAGCCUCAAAGUCACUAACCUUUUGAAUGGCAUCAUCAUCAUCAUCUUCUUCAGUCAAAUUCAUAGAAAAAGCCCUUCUUGCCACCGGUUCCUUUGCUCUGUCCUACACCGAUCCUGAUCAGAAAUGGCUAAUCAGAAAGCAUCUGACUUCAUUCCUCCAAGACUAUCCAAAUUUCGAGCUCUCAACUGAUACUUUCAAUCACAACAACGGAGCCAAAGUUCAACUCUUUUGCCUUGAAGGAUCUCUACGUACUCGAAGCUCCCCAAUACAACUCCCAACCGUGC